This 1663-nucleotide ribosomal RNA is filed under the name Escherichia coli. Its description in RNAcentral is "partial 23S ribosomal RNA". It matches the Rfam family "Bacterial large subunit ribosomal RNA", at positions 1282 to 2925 of the family's 2925-position model. Lineage: Bacteria; Pseudomonadati; Pseudomonadota; Gammaproteobacteria; Enterobacterales; Enterobacteriaceae. The record is from RNAcentral.
UCAGAAGUGCGAAUGCUGACAUAAGUAACGAUAAAGCGGGUGAAAAGCCCGCUCGCCGGAAGACCAAGGGUUCCUGUCCAACGUUAAUCGGGGCAGGGUGAGUCGACCCCUAAGGCGAGGCCGAAAGGCGUAGUCGAUGGGAAACAGGUUAAUAUUCCUGUACUUGGUGUUACUGCGAAGGGGGGACGGAGAAGGCUAUGUUGGCCGGGCGACGGUUGUCCCGGUUUAAGCGUGUAGGCUGGUUUUCCAGGCAAAUCCGGAAAAUCAAGGCUGAGGCGUGAUGACGAGGCACUACGGUGCUGAAGCAACAAAUGCCCUGCUUCCAGGAAAAGCCUCUAAGCAUCAGGUAACAUCAAAUCGUACCCCAAACCGACACAGGUGGUCAGGUAGAGAAUACCAAGGCGCUUGAGAGAACUCGGGUGAAGGAACUAGGCAAAAUGGUGCCGUAACUUCGGGAGAAGGCACGCUGAUAUGUAGGUGAAGUCCCUCGCGGAUGGAGCUGAAAUCAGUCGAAGAUACCAGCUGGCUGCAACUGUUUAUUAAAAACACAGCACUGUGCAAACACGAAAGUGGACGUAUACGGUGUGACGCCUGCCCGGUGCCGGAAGGUUAAUUGAUGGGGUCAGCGCAAGCGAAGCUCUUGAUCGAAGCCCCGGUAAACGGCGGCCGUAACUAUAACGGUCCUAAGGUAGCGAAAUUCCUUGUCGGGUAAGUUCCGACCUGCACGAAUGGCGUAAUGAUGGCCAGGCUGUCUCCACCCGAGACUCAGUGAAAUUGAACUCGCUGUGAAGAUGCAGUGUACCCGCGGCAAGACGGAAAGACCCCGUGAACCUUUACUAUAGCUUGACACUGAACAUUGAGCCUUGAUGUGUAGGAUAGGUGGGAGGCUUUGAAGUGUGGACGCCAGUCUGCAUGGAGCCGACCUUGAAAUACCACCCUUUAAUGUUUGAUGUUCUAACGUUGACCCGUGAUCCGGGUUGCGGACAGUGUCUGGUGGGUAGUUUGACUGGGGCGGUCUCCUCCUAAAGAGUAACGGAGGAGCACGAAGGUUGGCUAAUCCUGGUCGGACAUCAGGAGGUUAGUGCAAUGGCAUAAGCCAGCUUGACUGCGAGCGUGACGGCGCGAGCAGGUGCGAAAGCAGGUCAUAGUGAUCCGGUGGUUCUGAAUGGAAGGGCCAUCGCUCAACGGAUAAAAGGUACUCCGGGGAUAACAGGCUGAUACCGCCCAAGAGUUCAUAUCGACGGCGGUGUUUGGCACCUCGAUGUCGGCUCAUCACAUCCUGGGGCUGAAGUAGGUCCCAAGGGUAUGGCUGUUCGCCAUUUAAAGUGGUACGCGAGCUGGGUUUAGAACGUCGUGAGACAGUUCGGUCCCUAUCUGCCGUGGGCGCUGGAGAACUGAGGGGGGCUGCUCCUAGUACGAGAGGACCGGAGUGGACGCAUCACUGGUGUUCGGGUUGUCAUGCCAAUGGCACUGCCCGGUAGCUAAAUGCGGAAGAGAUAAGUGCUGAAAGCAUCUAAGCACGAAACUUGCCCCGAGAUGAGUUCUCCCUGACCCUUUAAGGGUCCUGAAGGAACGUUGAAGACGACGACGUUGAUAGGCCGGGUGUGUAAGCGCAGCGAUGCGUUGAGCUAACCGGUACUAAUGAACCGUGAGGCUUAACCUU